Molecule: non-coding RNA, 933 nt
Organism: Leptonychotes weddellii (Weddell seal)
Lineage: Eukaryota; Metazoa; Chordata; Mammalia; Carnivora; Phocidae
Source: RefSeq, a predicted model, not a curated record
AAGAUUAGAAGAAAAUAUCAUGACUCCAUAAUAAGAGCUUGCUCAUUAAGAUUUGGAAGGAAUUGCACUCCAUGGGCCGUCGUGACGUGCACAGAAAUUUCUAAGGAAAUUCUAACUAGUCGCUCGCUCCGCCUCCACUCCCCACCCAAAUUCUCAAGUCUGUAGUUGAAACCAUGGGUACAUGUUGAAUGCUGUGGUACUAGAAAGGAAUCAGGUAAACAAUACAUGGGUAUAUGGAACUUUCUGGGGUUCUGCUGAGAAAGACAAGUGGACAAACCACUAGUGUCUGGAGCCAGCCUGCUGUAUCUGGCGGCAUUUUCUCCCUGGCCAUUCAACACAGCUCAUGAAAAUCAUGUCUUUUCACUGAUACUUUUUUGAUAGUUUUUAUAUAAUGAAAUCUGUAUUCUAUUUAUAACUUCAGCUAAGAAAGCACUAUAAAUGAACUCCCUAAAGUAAUAUAUUUGUGGGUUACCUUUCACUAUUUCUACGUUACAUUAAUUUUUAGCUGUAAAAUGGUUAAAUUGAUUCUUACUGUUCUCUGUCUCUCUUUUUUACUUUUUGGUUUUCAGCUUUCUGUAAGUGUCAGAGAAUGUCUUCCGUUAGGAACGAUGUAUGACCUUUCAAUGUUGAAAAAUAAGCUCCUGAAAUUUGCAUGCCCUACACACGUUUUGAUUAACUUUCCAUUUUCUUUGGUCGAAGGCUGAUGUCACCACAAAUCCCUUGCAGUCAUUGAUUCUCUCAUUCUCCUUUGUGGGAUCCCAGCAUCCCAUCAUGUUAAUCCUAUACUAUUUUCAAGGACUUGUGACUGAUGGUUAAGGGUAUUUGGAAAGCUCUUAAUUUGAGGAUGACCACGUGUAGCCAUUUAGUACUGCAAUGUAGAUUACUCAAUUUACCAAUAUAUUUCAACAAUUAAAACAUUUUUAUUCCUCUUUA